This 440-nucleotide ribosomal RNA is filed under the name uncultured bacterium. RNAcentral's name for it is "partial 16S ribosomal RNA". It matches the Rfam family "Bacterial small subunit ribosomal RNA", at positions 338 to 795 of the family's 1533-position model. The record is from RNAcentral.
CCUACGGGGGACAGCAGUAGGGAAUAUUGCUCAAUGGGGGAAACCCUGAAGCAGCAACGCCGCGUGGAGGAUGAAGGUUUUCGGAUUGUAAACUCCUUUUGUUAGAGAAGAUAAUGACGGUAUCUAACGAAUAAGCACCGGCUAAAUCCGGUCCAGCAGCCGCGGUAAUACGGAGGGUGCAAGCGUUACGCGGAAUCACUGGGCGUAAAGGGCGCGUAGGCGGGAUAGCAAGUCAGAUGUGAAAUCCUAUGGCUUAACCAUAGAACUGCAUUUGAAACUGUUAUUCUAGAGUAUGGGAGAGGUAGGUGGAAUUCUUGGUGUAGGGGUAAAAUCCGUAGAGAUCAAGAAGAAUACUCAUUGCGAAGGCGACCUGCUAGAACAUAACUGACGCUGAUGCGCGAAAGCGUGGGGAGCAAACAGGAUUAGAUACCCUUGUAGUC